AGUUUUAUGAGAAUAUAUAAAAUGAAUUCUGCCCAAUGAUUAGUUUAAUGGCCGCAGUACUUUAACUGUGCUAAGGUAGCAUAAUAAUUUGGCUUUUAAUUAAGGUCUGGUAUGAAAGGAUUUUAUGGGUAAUAACUGUCUUUAUUUAACUUUUAAAAAUUUACUUAAGAGGUGAAAAUUCCUUUAAUAUUAAAAUAGACGAGAAGACCCUAGGAGUUUUCAUUUUGUUGGGGCGACAUUUUAGUAGAUAACCUAAGAAAAAAAAUUUGACGGAUAUAUCAAUUAUAAAUAAACUACCCUAGGGAUAACAGCAUAAUAAUAUUUUUGUUUGUGACCUCGAUGUUGGACUAGG
RNAcentral lists this ribosomal RNA (352 nucleotides) under Allenoconcha basispiralis. RNAcentral's name for it is "partial large subunit ribosomal RNA". It matches the Rfam family "Archaeal large subunit ribosomal RNA", at positions 1908 to 2610 of the family's 2987-position model. The record is from RNAcentral. Lineage: Eukaryota; Metazoa; Mollusca; Gastropoda; Stylommatophora; Microcystidae.